RNAcentral lists this unclassified non-coding RNA (395 nucleotides) under Hevea brasiliensis (rubber tree). Lineage: Eukaryota; Viridiplantae; Streptophyta; Magnoliopsida; Malpighiales; Euphorbiaceae. The record is from RNAcentral.
GGAAGCACAGACCCGUUAAGAAACCCGUUUGGCAAAGCGGAGAAACCUAUACGGUUCAGCAAUUUCAGGUUAAAGCUAAAGCCUUUGAGAAGAAUUACUUGAGAAAGAAUUCAAAGAGAGCAUUGACACCACUUGAAGUUGAAACCCUUUAUUGGAAAGCCACUGUGGAUAAACCCUUUUCGGUGGAGUAUGCAAAUGAUAUGCCAGGUUCUGCAUUUGCGCCAAAGAAGGCUUCUUUGGCAGCAGGGGGUAUUGGGGAAGUGAGUACUCUGGCAGAUACAGAGUGGAAUAUGAGAGGAGUGUCAAGGUCAAAAGGGUCUUUACUGAAGUUCAUGAAAGAGGAGAUCCCAGGGGUAACUUCCCCUAUGGUGUAUCUUGCCAUGAUGUUUAGUUGG